Molecule: long non-coding RNA, 240 nt
Filed under: Manihot esculenta (cassava)
Lineage: Eukaryota; Viridiplantae; Streptophyta; Magnoliopsida; Malpighiales; Euphorbiaceae
Description: long non-coding RNA (MESC_LNC007965)
Source: RNAcentral
UUUAAGAACAUUCGUCCUCGAAUGUUCAAACAUCAAACAUGCAUCAAGCAUACAUCAACAAGCAAGCAACAAGCAAGCAAAACCUAAAAACCUCUCUUCUAAAAGAGAGACACGGUCAUUACUGGAGUAUAAACUCUCUGUCUCCCCGGUGCACUUUUCAUCUUAAGGUGAUUCUAAGGGACUUUCACCAUCGGGAUUUCCCUGUUUCCACACUUUCUAACUUGUGUGUCUGCGGUCCGU